ACGGGAGGCAGCAGUGAGGAAUAUUGGUCAAUGGACGAGAGUCUGAACCAGCCAAGUAGCGUGCAGGAUGACGGCCCUAUGGGUUGUAAACUGCUUUUGUACGGGAAUAAAGUGACCUACGUGUAGGUUUUUGCAUGUACCGUAAGAAUAAGGACCGGCUAAUUCCGUGCCAGCAGCCGCGGUAAUACGGAAGGUCCGGGCGUUAUCCGGAUUUAUUGGGUUUAAAGGGUGCGUAGGCGGGCUGUUAAGUCAGCGGUGAAACCCCCGGGCUCAACCCGGGGACUGCCAUUGAAACUGGCGGCCUUGAGUACGUUGGGAGUGCGCGGAAUGUGUGGUGUAGCGGUGAAAUGCAUAGAUAUCACACAGAACACCGAUCGCGUAGGCAGCGCACUACGCCGCAACUGACGCUGAGGCACGAAGGCGCGGGGAUCGAACAGGAUUAGAUACCCUGGUA
RNAcentral lists this ribosomal RNA (454 nucleotides) under uncultured Prevotella sp. RNAcentral's name for it is "partial 16S ribosomal RNA". It matches the Rfam family "Bacterial small subunit ribosomal RNA", at positions 341 to 792 of the family's 1533-position model. Lineage: Bacteria; Pseudomonadati; Bacteroidota; Bacteroidia; Bacteroidales; Prevotellaceae. The record is from RNAcentral.